CAUUUGUUCUCUAAAUAAGGACUUGUAUGAAUGGCCACACGAGGGUUUUACUGUCUCUUACUUCUAAUCAGUGAAAUUGACCUUCCCGUGAAGAGGCGGGGAUGAACUAACAAGACGAGAAGACCCUAUGGAGCUUUAACUAAUUAACCCAAAGAACAAAAGCUUAACCACCAAGGGAUAACAACACUACUUAUGGGUUAACAGUUUCGGUUGGGGUGACCUCGGAGAAUAAAAAAUCCUCCGAACGAUUUUAAAGACUAGACUUACAAGUCAAAUCAAACUAUCGAUUAUUGAUCCAAAAACUUGAUCAACGGAAUAAGUUACCCUAGGGAUAACAGCGCA
This 342-nucleotide ribosomal RNA is filed under the name Alcelaphus buselaphus jacksoni. Its description in RNAcentral is "partial 16S ribosomal RNA". It matches the Rfam family "Archaeal large subunit ribosomal RNA", at positions 2043 to 2553 of the family's 2987-position model. Lineage: Eukaryota; Metazoa; Chordata; Mammalia; Artiodactyla; Bovidae. The record is from RNAcentral.